Molecule: ribosomal RNA, 496 nt
Filed under: uncultured bacterium
Lineage: Bacteria
Description: partial 16S ribosomal RNA
Rfam family: Bacterial small subunit ribosomal RNA
Source: RNAcentral
AUUGAACGCUGGCGGAAUGCUUUACACAUGCAAGUCGAACGGUAGAGGGGGCAACCCCUCGAGAGUGGCGAACGGGUGAGUAAUAUAUCGGAACGUGCCCAGUCGUGGGGGAUAACGUAGCGAAAGUUACGCUAAUACCGCAUACGAUCUACGGAUGAAAGCGGGGGACCGUAAGGCCUCGCGCGAUUGGAGCGGCCGAUGUCAGAUUAGGUAGUUGGUGAGGUAAAGGCUCACCAAGCCGACGAUUUGUAGCUGGUCUGAGAGGACGACCAGCCACACUGGGACUGAGACACGGCCCAGACUCCUACGGGAGGCAGCAGUGGGGAAUUUUGGACAAUGGGCGCAAGCCUGAUCCAGCCAUUCCGCGUGCAGGACGAAGGCCUUCGGGUUGUAAACUGCUUUUGUACGGAACGAAAAGGCUCUGGUUAAUACCUGGGGCUCAUGACGGUACCGUAAGAAUAAGCACCGGCUAACUACGUGCCAGCAGCCGCCGUAA